RNAcentral lists this ribosomal RNA (406 nucleotides) under uncultured bacterium. RNAcentral's name for it is "partial 16S ribosomal RNA". It matches the Rfam family "Bacterial small subunit ribosomal RNA", at positions 28 to 526 of the family's 1533-position model. The record is from RNAcentral.
GAUGAACGCUAGCUACAGGCUUAACACAUGCAAGUCGAGGGACCGGCGCACGGGUGAGUAACCCGUAACCAACCUGCCCUUUACUCGGGGAUAGCCUUUCGAAAGAAAGAUUACUCCCCGAUCUAAAGGAUGGGGAUGCGUUUCAUUAGGUUGUUGGUGAGGUAACGGCCCACCAAGCCUUCGAUGGAUAGGGGUUCGGAGAGGAAGGUCCCCCACAUUGGAACGAAGGCACAGACCAAACGGCGACGGGAGGAAGCAGAGAGGAAUAUAGGGGAAUGGGCGUUAGCCUGAACCAGCCGAGUAGCUUGAAGGAGGAAGGCGUAUGGGUCGAAAACUUCUGUUAUAGAAGAAUAGGUAUUAGAUGAAUAAGGAUCGGCUAACUCCGUGCCAGCAGCCGCGGUAAUAC